UACGGAGGGAGCAAGCGUUAAUCGGAAUUACUGGGCGUAAAGCGUGCGCAGGCGGUUUUGUAAGUCUGACGUGAAAUCCCCGGGCUCAACCUGGGAAUUGCGUUGGAGACUGCAAGGCUAGAAUCUGGCAGAGGGGGGUAGAAUUCCACGUGUAGCAGUGAAAUGCGUAGAGAUGUGGAGGAACACCGAUGGCGAAGGCAGCCCCCUGGGUCAAGAUUGACGCUCAUGCACGAAAGCGUGGGGAGCAAACAGG
This 253-nucleotide ribosomal RNA is filed under the name uncultured bacterium. RNAcentral's name for it is "partial 16S ribosomal RNA". It matches the Rfam family "Bacterial small subunit ribosomal RNA", at positions 524 to 776 of the family's 1533-position model. The record is from RNAcentral.